AUUGAACGCUGGCGGCAGGCCUAACACAUGCAAGUCGAGCGGUAGCACAGAGAGCUUGCUCUCGGGUGACGAGCGGCGGACGGGUGAGUAAUGUCUGGGAAACUGCCUGAUGGAGGGGGAUAACUACUGGAAACGGUAGCUAAUACCGCAUAACGUCGCAAGACCAAAGUGGGGGACCUUCGGGCCUCAUGCCAUCAGAUGUGCCCAGAUGGGAUUAGCUAGUAGGUGGGGUAACGGCUCACCUAGGCGACGAUCCCUAGCUGGUCUGAGAGGAUGACCAGCCACACUGGAACUGAGACACGGUCCAGACUCCUACGGGAGGCAGCAGUGGGGAAUAUCGCACAAUGGGCGCAAGCCUGAUGCAGCCAUGCCGCGUGUGUGAAGAAGGCCUUCGGGUUGUAAAGCACUUUCAGCGGGGAGGAAGGCGGUGAGGUUAAUAACCUCAUCGAUUGACGUUACCCGCAGAAGAAGCACCGGCUAACUCCGUGCCAGCAGCCGCGGUAAUACGGAGGGUGCAAGCGUUAAUCGGAAUUACUGGGCGUAAAGCGCACGCAGGCGGUCUGUCAAGUCGGAUGUGAAAUCCCCGGGCUCAACCUGGGAACUGCAUUCGAAACUGGCAGGCUAGAGUCUUGUAGAGGGGGGUAGAAUUCCAGGUGUAGCGGUGAAAUGCGUAGAGAUCUGGAGGAAUACCGGUGGCGAAGGCGGCCCCCUGGACAAAGACUGACGCUCAGGUGCGAAAGCGUGGGGAGCAAACAGGAUUAGAUACCCUGGUAGUCCACGCCGUAAACGAUGUCGAUUUGGAGGUUGUGCCCUUGAGGCGUGGCUUCCGGAGCUAACGCGUUAAAUCGACCGCCUGGGGAGUACGGCCGCAAGGUUAAAACUCAAAUGAAUUGACGGGGGCCCGCACAAGCGGUGGAGCAUGUGGUUUAAUUCGAUGCAACGCGAAGAACCUUACCUGGUCUUGACAUCCACAGAACUUUCCAGAGAUGGAUUGGUGCCUUCGGGAACUGUGAGACGGGUGCUGCAUGGCUGUCGUCAGCUCGUGUUGUGAAAUGUUGGGUUAAGUCCCGCAACGAGCGCAACCCUUAUCCUUUGUUGCCAGCGGUCCGGCCGGGAACUCAAAGGAGACUGCCAGUGAUAAACUGGAGGAAGGUGGGGAUGACGUCAAGUCAUCAUGGCCCUUACGACCAGGGCUACACACGUGCUACAAUGGCAUAUACAAAGAGAAGCGACCUCGCGAGAGCAAGCGGACCUCAUAAAGUAUGUCGUAGUCCGGAUUGGAGUCUGCAACUCGACUCCAUGAAGUCGGAAUCGCUAGUAAUCGUAGAUCAGAAUGCUACGGUGAAUACGUUCCCGGGCCU
RNAcentral lists this ribosomal RNA (1361 nucleotides) under uncultured bacterium. RNAcentral's name for it is "bacterial SSU rRNA". It matches the Rfam family "Bacterial small subunit ribosomal RNA", at positions 28 to 1381 of the family's 1533-position model. The record is from RNAcentral.